Molecule: RNA transcript, 3314 nt
Organism: Mus musculus (house mouse)
Lineage: Eukaryota; Metazoa; Chordata; Mammalia; Rodentia; Muridae
Gene: Mtmr14
Gene name: myotubularin related protein 14
Exons: 15
Source: RefSeq, marked validated
GCGGGGCCGGAAGUGGAAGAAGAAGGCGGCGGCUGAGUCGGUUCAGGAGGUUUUAGAGCCGGAGUCCGAGCUUCAGGUGCCAUGGGCUGGGGGAAGGCGCCCUGAGGGGACUCGAGGCUGUGCAUGGCGGGUGCUCGGGCCGCCGCCGCCGCCUCGGCGGGUUCCACCGCCUCGUCGGGCAGCCCGCCGCCUCAGGAGCCCGGGCUCUGGGAGCUGCUGGAGGAGUUCUCCCGGACUCAGUACCGUGCCAAGGACAGCGGCGGGAAGAGCGGCUCUAAGGUUGAACGCAUUGAGAAGAGAUGUCUGGAGCUAUUUGGCCGUGACUACUGUUUCAGCGUGAUUCCAAAUGUGAAUGGUGAUAUCUGCGGCCACUACCCCCGCCACAUCGUAUUCCUGGAGUAUGAGAGUUCUGAGAAAGAGAAAGACACAUUUCAGAGCACUGUGCAGGUGAACAAGUUGCAAGACCUCAUUCACCGAAGCAAGAUGGCCAGGUGCAGAGGUCGGUUUGUCUGCCCAGUGAUCCUGUUCAAAGGCAAGGAGUGGUGACACGCACCUUUUUGAUAAGGUGAGAGGCUAUGAUAUCAAGCUGCUUCAAUACCUGUCAGUCAAGUACAUCUGUGACCUGAUGGUGGAGAACAAGAAGUGUAACCUCCUCUGAGAAGGUGGACAAAGCCCAGCGCUAUGCAAACUUCACUCUCCUCUCUAUUCCAUAUCCAGGUUGUGAAUUCUUCAAGGAAUAUAAAGAUCGGGAUUACAUGGCUGAAGGGCUCAUAUUUAACUGGAAGCAGGACUACGUCGAUGCCCCAUUGAACAUCCCCAACUUCCUGACUCAAUCUCUGAACAUUGACUGGAGCCAGUAUCAGAGUUGGGACCUGGUGCAACAAACACAGAACUACCUGAAACUGCUGCUUUUCAUCAUGAACAGAGAUGAUGACAGCGGGCUGCUGGUACACUGUAUCUCAGGCUGGGACCGGACCCCCCUCUUCAUCUCUCUUCUGCGCCUUUCCUUGUGGGCUGAUGGGCUAAUUCACACAUCCCUGAAGCCUGCUGAGAUCCUCUACCUGACUGUGGCCUAUGACUGGUUCCUCUUUGGACACAUGUUGGUAGAUCGGCUCAGCAAAGGGGAGGAGAUUUUCUUCUUUUGCUUCAAUUUUUUGAAGCAUAUCACCUCCGAAGAGUUCUGCCUGAAGACCCAGAGGAGGAAGAGUUUGCCAACUCGGGAUGCAGGCUUCACUGUGGAAGAUAUCUGCAUGUUGAGACACAAAGAUCGAGGCAGCACAACCAGCCUAGGCAGCGACUUCUCCCUGGUCUUGGAGCACUCACCGGGAGCUGUGGGGAGCUUCAGCUAUGAGACUGUGGAACUUGCCCCGGCAGGAGCACCAACUCAGGCAGCUUGGAGGAAGAGUCACUCAUCCUCCCCACAGAGUAUGCUCUGGAGCCGGCCACAGCCCUCUGAGGAGCGCCUACCUUCACACCAUGGGCUCACUGAAGCCAAGUCUUCUAGCUCUUCAUCCUCAAACCAUUCUGACAACUUUUUCAGGAUGGGCAGCAGUCCUCUUGAGGUCCCCAAACCCAGGUGAGGAACCUCAAGGGGUAAGGAGCCUGCUGGAGGAUGUGGCUGGCCUUCCUCCAUUGUCGAGGUUGGAAGUGGAGUAUAUCACAUUUAUGCUAGCUGGGUUUCCUUGGAAUGUGCCUUGAUAUGAGUAGCUACUUAGGAGCUGAAGGAAGUGGAUGCUUAGGAGGCCCACCCACUCUUUGAAGGAUUGAUUGCUGUUGGAGCACAGAUCCUUCACCAGUUUGUACAAACAUUUGUAAUUGUUUCCUGGAAUGCUAUGCUAUGGAGUAUAUGGGUACACAAAUGUAAUGAUGGUCUGGACUGCCACCAUGUGUGCCCCUUUGGAAGAUCUCAGACCUCUGGACUACCCAUUGUAGAUAUAUCAAGAUGGGUCAGAAUACUCUGGGUUCAUUUAUUUCUCACAUGCCAUGUCCACACUGAUGGAGAGGCUACAACAACAGAGAAGGGAUCAACAACAUGUGUGGCUGUGGAAAACACAGCAACUCAAUAUAUAUUGAAAAUCAACUGAGCCAGGACAGGUGUGCCACGGUGAGGCCAGCAUGCUGCCUCCUGGGUAAAAUUAAAAUUGAGUGUGCACCAGGGCCAGAGAAUUGGGGUAGGGAGUGGUCUGACACUUGGGGGAAAGCAUUUCCCAGCUGAUGGUCCUACUUUUUCCCAUAUCAUAUUCCAAAGAAUGACUGAGUGUGUUGAUUGCUUUCCUGCCUAAAUUAUAGAGAAUUCAUAGUCCUUCUAAAGAGAACAGAACACUGUAUGGCCGAGAGGCCACUAAAGGUUUAGCAAAAUGGACAUGAACUCUGGAAUCCCACUUAGACUUGAGCCCAUCUUUGCCAUGUGUCCAUGUAGCUUUUUGUCUGUGUCCUGCUUGGUGGCAGGCCUGUUAAAGCUUCUGGUCCCCUCCACUCACUGGACAAUAGGAGGCGAUGGAGUAAGAGGCGCCAAAGCAUCUUCCUCAGGGAGGCAGAGCAGAUGAGUGGUGGGCAAGCUUGAUGCUGGCUGCUCUGACCAGAGGUGGCCCAUGUGCCCUGAGUGCCCUACCUACAGGUGAGCGCUUCAUCUCAGUGCCAUCUGCAAACCCUGAGGUAUUUGUUAAGCCAAGAUGAUAGCCCAUUGGAGACUUGGCAUCUAUGACUAAAUAGAGCCAGGGCCAGGCAGAUAGCCCACAUUGCCUGUGCCUGCUCCCAUCCUACACAUGGGGCUGGCAUAUAUGCCUGUUGCUGGGACUCCUCCUCUGCACUUGGCUGUCCUUAGGGCUACUCUUGAGUUGUGGUAGCACUUCUAAAACUCUUGGUGUCUGAGCUGAGGUUCUUGCUUAUGGUCCCUGCCUCCUUUUCUGCUUGUGUAUCGCCACUGAGUAUCUGGGAAGGUUCUACUUGCCACCUAGGCCUUGCCCCAACUGUUGACAACUCCUUUGUUGACCUGUCAGUAUUCCUACAUCCAGAAUGGCCACAAAAUGCCCUUUCUCUGAGAGGGUGAGUAAUAUUGGAAGAUCCACUUCCAACCCCAAGGCCAGACCAAAGAUAAUAUGGACUUAAGUGGAGGCUGGACAGACAGUGUGGGGCAUGUGUUGUGAGCUGCGUCUUCUGUGAGCAUCUGCCCAGAGCUACACCAGCUAGCCAGGCAACACAGUUCUGAAUUGGGUAUCUGCUGCCAGAGGUUUAAAGACUACACUAUUCUGAUUUGGAGCAUUCUAAUUAUGUAUUUCCAUUAACAUUAAAAUUAAUUUAGUCUCUUUUAUCUU